RNAcentral lists this ribosomal RNA (408 nucleotides) under uncultured bacterium. RNAcentral's name for it is "partial 16S ribosomal RNA". It matches the Rfam family "Bacterial small subunit ribosomal RNA", at positions 28 to 526 of the family's 1533-position model. The record is from RNAcentral.
GACGAACGCUGGCGGCGUGCUUAACACAUGCAAGUCGAACGAAGUGGCGAACGGGUGAGUAACGCGUAAUCAACCUGCUCUUCCGAGGGGGACACAAGUUGGAAAAGACUGCUAAUACCGCAUAAUGAAGGAGGGGAUUGCGUCUGAUUAGCUAGUUGGAGUGGUAACGGCCCACCAGGGCGGUGAUCAGUAGCCGGUCUGAGAGGCUGAACAGCCACAUUGGGACUGAGACACGGCCCAGACUCCUCCGGGAGGCAGCAGUGGGGAAUCUUCCGCAAUGGACGAAAGUCUGGCGGAGCAACGCCGCGUGAGUGAUGACGGCCUUCGGGUUGUAAAGCUCUGUUAAUCGGGACGCGGUACCGGAAUAGAAAGCCACGGCUAACUACGUGCCAGCAGCCGCGGUAAUAC